RNAcentral lists this long non-coding RNA (800 nucleotides) under Felis catus (domestic cat). Its description in RNAcentral is "lncRNA (ENSFCAG00000046202.2)". Lineage: Eukaryota; Metazoa; Chordata; Mammalia; Carnivora; Felidae. The record is from RNAcentral.
GGGCGGUGGGGGCGGGAUCGGCUUCACCUGGAUCGAUUGGUGAUGGCUGUGCCCGGCACGCUGCUCAGUGCCGUGGUUGAUUAGCGAUGUCUGCCGCGGCCCCGGAGGGGCCGUCUAAGGCUGACCGUUUACCUACCGUCUGGGGUGUAUGCUGCGUCCAGCAAAGACUCAGAGGGGUGGCCAGGAGCUGCUUCUCUACUGGUGCACGUUCACCCGCUCAGCGAGCAGGGGGCAGGCAGCGGUUGCCGUGGGCUCGGACCCACGCAGGGGGCCCACCCAUGCCCCCACCCCACUCCCGCUCCCGUGGACAGGCAGGCCGCGGUGGGGAGCACUGGACGGGGAGAAGCGUGGCUGGAUGGGGCUCAUCACUCUGCUGUCUGGCACCCUCUGAGGCCGGAGGCGGCUGGAGUGUCUGCCCAGCACCAGCCGGGACUGUCCACCUCUCAGGUCCCUUCCCCUCCUCUGGCCCUGGGGCCAGCCUGCCGGAAUCCCUACCAUGCCUCCCUAGGACAGACCACAUGGCCCAGCCAUCCCUCAGGACGGGGCCCCUCCCCGACCAUCAGGCUUGGCCCCUUGCUGAGCCCUCAGGGACACUGCAGCCCCCACCCCCUUCCUGGGAGUCCAAAGCCUGGUGGCACAGCUGGGGUGCUCUGCGUCCUCUGCUGCUGCAAGUGGGACCAGCCAGGCAGGGGCAUCCAGGAGGGCUUCCUGGAAGAGGAAGCUCCGGGCCCUUCCCUCCCCGUCCUCACCUGGCCCACCUGGCUCCCCCCCCCCCCACUCCUGGCUGGGCCUCUCCUUGA